AGCGAACGCUGGCGGCAGGCCUAACACAUGCAAGUCGAACGAACUCUUCGGAGUUAGUGGCGGACGGGUGAGUAACACGUGGGAACGUGCCUUUAGGUUCGGAAUAACUCAGGGAAACUUGUGCUAAUACCGAAUGUGCCCUUCGGGGGAAAGAUUUAUCGCCUUUAGAGCGGCCCGCGUCUGAUUAGCUAGUUGGUGAGGUAAAGGCUCACCAAGGCGACGAUCAGUAGCUGGUCUGAGAGGAUGAUCAGCCACAUUGGGACUGAGACACGGCCCAAACUCCUACGGGGGGCAGCAGUGGGGAAUCUUGCGCAAUGGGCGAAAGCCUGACGCAGCCAUGCCGCGUGAAUGAUGAAGGUCUAGGAUUGUAAAAUUCUUUCACCGGGGACGAUAAUGACGGUACCCGGAGAAGAAGCCCCGGCUAACUUCGUGCCAGCCGCCGCGGUAA
This 448-nucleotide ribosomal RNA is filed under the name uncultured bacterium. Its description in RNAcentral is "partial 16S ribosomal RNA". It matches the Rfam family "Bacterial small subunit ribosomal RNA", at positions 29 to 523 of the family's 1533-position model. The record is from RNAcentral.